AGAGUUUGAUUCUGGCUCAGGAUGAACGCUAGCUACAGGCUUAACACAUGCAAGUCGAGGGGCAGCAUUGGAGUAGCAAUACUUCAGAUGGCGACCGGCGCACGGGCGAGUAACACGUAUCCAACCUGCCGCUUACUCGGGGAUAGCCUUUCGAAAGAAAGAUUAAUACCCGAUGGUAUAAAGAGUUCGCAUGUUCUCUUUAUUAAAGAAUUUCGGUAAGCGAUGGGGAUGCGUUCCAUUAGAUAGUUGGCGGGGUAACGGCCCACCAAGUCUACGAUGGAUAGGGGUUCUGAGAGGUUGGUCCCCCACACUGGUACUGAGACACGGACCAGACUCCUACGGGAGGCAGCAGUGAGGAAUAUUGGUCAAUGGGCGGGAGCCUGAACCAGCCAAGUCGCGUGAAGGAAGAAGGAUCUAUGGUUCGUAAACUUCUUUUGCAGGGGAAUAAAGUGCAGGACGUGUCCUGUUUUGUAUGUACCCUGAGAAUAAGGAUCGGCUAACUCCGUGCCAGCCGCAGC
Molecule: ribosomal RNA, 518 nt
Filed under: uncultured bacterium
Lineage: Bacteria
Description: bacterial SSU rRNA
Rfam family: Bacterial small subunit ribosomal RNA
Source: RNAcentral